UUGAAUUUUCUGGCCUGAAUGCCAAGUGCCACGCCUGGAGGAAACCUGGCACCAUCCCUACGGUGAAGCAUUGUGGUGAUAGCAUCAUGCUGUGGGGAUGUUUUUCAGCGGCAGGGACUGGCAGACCAGCCAGGAUCGAGGGAAAGAUGAAUGGAGCAAAGUACAGAGAGAUCCUUGAUGAAAAUCUACUCCAGAGCAUACAGGUGAAACCAGGGGGAACGGCAGACAGGCAGGCAGACAGACAGACAGCAGGGGGUUCCCCUGUCUACAGUACGGGUGAAACCAGUGUGUGUGACCUCCUAGGCUGUAAACUCAGAAUGUUCUCCCUGUACUUCCCACGCUGCCCACAUGGGGAAGGCAGAAAACAAGCUGUACCAUUAACCACCUCUGUACUGGCUUCUCCUGACACAUCUGGGAGCCCACGUGCCUUGGUGAGGGGAGAGAUGGUCUUAGCCCGUGUGGGAGCAGUAGAGAUGGCCUGGCAGUCUGUCAAUAUAUGGAGACAAAUGACAACAGAAGAAUAGG
Molecule: long non-coding RNA, 525 nt
Organism: Oncorhynchus masou masou (cherry salmon)
Lineage: Eukaryota; Metazoa; Chordata; Actinopteri; Salmoniformes; Salmonidae
Exons: 3
Source: RefSeq, a predicted model, not a curated record